This 230-nucleotide ribosomal RNA is filed under the name uncultured microorganism. Its description in RNAcentral is "partial 16S ribosomal RNA". It matches the Rfam family "Bacterial small subunit ribosomal RNA", at positions 524 to 753 of the family's 1533-position model. The record is from RNAcentral.
UACGGAGGGUGCGAGCGUUAAUCGGAAUAACUGGGCGUAAAGGGCACGCAGGCGGUGACUUAAGUGAGGUGUGAAAGCCCCGGGCUUAACCUGGGAAUUGCAUUUCAUACUGGGUCGCUAGAGUACUUUAGGGAGGGGUAGAAUUCCACGUGUAGCGGUGAAAUGCGUAGAGAUGUGGAGGAAUACCGAAGGCGAAGGCAGCCCCUUGGGAAUGUACUGACGCUCAUGUG